UACGGAGGGUGCGAGCGUUAAUCGGAAUUACUGGGCGUAAAGCGUGCGCAGGCGGUUUUGUAAGCCAGAUGUGAAAUCCCCGGGCUUAACCUGGGAAUGGCAUUUGGGACUGCAAGGCUCGAGUGCGGCAGAGGAGACUGGAAUUCCUGGUGUAGCAGUGAAAUGCGUAGAUAUCAGGAGGAACACCGAUGGCGAAGGCAGGUCUCUGGGCUGACACUGACGCUCAUGCACGAAAGCGUGGGGAGCAAACAGG
Molecule: ribosomal RNA, 253 nt
Filed under: uncultured bacterium
Lineage: Bacteria
Description: partial 16S ribosomal RNA
Rfam family: Bacterial small subunit ribosomal RNA
Source: RNAcentral